Molecule: ribosomal RNA, 409 nt
Filed under: Fusobacteriota bacterium
Lineage: Bacteria; Fusobacteriati; Fusobacteriota
Description: Fusobacteria bacterium partial 16S ribosomal RNA
Rfam family: Bacterial small subunit ribosomal RNA
Source: RNAcentral
UGGGGAAUAUUGCACAAUGGAGGGAACUCUGAUGCAGCAACGCCGCGUGCGGGAUGACGGCCUUCGGGUUGUAAACCGCUUUCAGCCAUGACGAAGCUUUUGUGACGGUAGUGGUAGAAGAAGCACCGGCUAACUACGUGCCAGCAGCCGCGGUGAUACGUAGGGUGCGAGCGUUGUCCGGAAUUAUUGGGCGUAAAGAGCUUGUAGGCGGUUUGUCGCGUCGAUAGUGUAAACACGCAGCUUAACUGUGUGCCUGCUGUCGAUACGGGCUGACUAGAGGAGGGUAGGGGAGAAUGGAAUUCCCGGUGGAGCGGUGGAAUGCGCAGAUCUCGGGAGGAACACCAGUGGCGAAGGCGGUUCUCUGGACCUUUCCUGACGCUGAGAAGCGAAAGCGUGGGUAGCAAACAGG